CGGGGGUGACGCUUGUGGAAUGAGCGGCGGACGGGUGAGUAACACGUGGGCAACCUGCCUGUAAGACUGGGAUAACCCCGGGAAACCGGGGCUAAUACCGGAUAAUACUUUCUUUUGCAUAAAGGAAAGUUGAAAGGCGGCUUCGGCUGUCACUUACAGAUGGGCCCGCGGCGCAUUAGCUAGUUGGUGAGGUAACGGCUCACCAAGGCGACGAUGCGUAGCCGACCUGAGAGGGUGAUCGGCCACACUGGGACUGAGACACGGCCCAGACUCCUACGGGAGGCAGCAGUAGGGAAUCUUCCGCAAUGGACGAAAGUCUGACGGAGCAACGCCGCGUGAGUGAUGAAGGUUUUCGGAUCGUAAAACUCUGUUGUUAGGGAAGAACAAGUUGGGUAGUAACUGACCCAACCUUGACGGUACCUAACCAGAAAGCCACGGCUAACUACGUGCCAGCAGCCGCGGUAAUACGUAGGUGGCAAGCGUUGUCCGGAAUUAUUGGGCGUAAAGCGCUCGCAGGCGGUCCUUUAAGUCUGAUGUGAAAUCUCGCGGCUCAACCGCGAACGGUCAUUGGAAACUGGAGGACUUGAGUACAGAAGAGGAGAGUGGAAUUCCACGUGUAGCGGUGAAAUGCGUAGAGAUGUGGAGGAACACCAGUGGCGAAGCGACUCUCUGGUCUGUAACUGACGCUGAGGAGCGAAAG
RNAcentral lists this ribosomal RNA (700 nucleotides) under Oceanobacillus picturae. RNAcentral's name for it is "bacterial SSU rRNA". It matches the Rfam family "Bacterial small subunit ribosomal RNA", at positions 73 to 759 of the family's 1533-position model. Lineage: Bacteria; Bacillati; Bacillota; Bacilli; Caryophanales; Bacillaceae. The record is from RNAcentral.